GUGGGGAAUAUUGCACAAUGGGCGGAAGCCUGAUGCAGCAACGCCGCGUGCGGGAUGACGGCCUUCGGGUUGUAAACCGCUUUCAGCAGGGACGAAGCGUGAGUGACGGUACCUGCAGAAGAAGCACCGGCUAACUACGUGCCAGCAGCCGCGGUGAUACGUAGGGUGCGAGCGUUGUCCGGAUUUAUUGGGCGUAAAGAGCUUGUAGGCGGUUGGUUGCGUCGAAAGUGCAAACUCAGGGCUUAACUCUGAGCCUGCUUUCGAUACGGGCUGACUGGAGGAAGGUAGGGGAGAAUGGAAUUCCCGGUGGAGCGGUGGAAUGCGCGGAUAUCGGGAGGAACACCAGUGGCGAAGGCGGUUCUCUGGACCUUUCCUGACGCUGAGAAGCGAAAGCGUGGGGAGCAAACAGGCUUAGAUACCCUAGUAGUCC
This 430-nucleotide ribosomal RNA is filed under the name uncultured bacterium. RNAcentral describes it as "partial 16S ribosomal RNA". It matches the Rfam family "Bacterial small subunit ribosomal RNA", at positions 354 to 796 of the family's 1533-position model. The record is from RNAcentral.